RNAcentral lists this transfer RNA (145 nucleotides) under Caudoviricetes sp. RNAcentral describes it as "tRNA-Ala". Lineage: Duplodnaviria; Heunggongvirae; Uroviricota; Caudoviricetes. The record is from RNAcentral.
GCUUCGAUAGCUCAACGGUCAGAGCAAGCGGAAUAGCGCAAAUACCCAACGGUCGGACCCCAAACCAACCAUGGCACCAUACUGCACACAACCAUGAUGACAACAACGCAUUCCACCCACGCCGGUCCGACUCCGGCACGAAGCA